AAACCAUUCUCCCACCUUAGCCUCCCAGUAGCUGGGACUACAGGAAAAAAACUGCAUUUGUUUGAGAAACUACUUGAAGAAAAAGUGGGGACUAUAUGCAGACAGAACAAUUCUGUUAAAUACAGAGGUAUAUUCCCAGUUCCCAGAAGAUUGCUUGGCACAUAGUCAGCCCUCUUUUUGGAUUGAUCCUUGAGCUCAAGAGUCACUCUCCAGUGCUAAGUCCUUGAUCUUAAUUCUGGGUCACACUCACCCUU
This is a long non-coding RNA of Cercocebus atys (sooty mangabey), 254 nucleotides long. RefSeq lists it as uncharacterized. The transcript is spliced from 4 exons. Lineage: Eukaryota; Metazoa; Chordata; Mammalia; Primates; Cercopithecidae. The record is from RefSeq and is a predicted model, not a curated record.